GAAAAUAUCACUCACCCUUAGAUGGACACCACUAUAAGGACUCUGAGGCCUGAGACUAGCAAGACGGGGGAGACCCAAUGCCCCUCGCCAUUCCAGCUCAGCAAAAGCAUUCAGACUGCUGAUGAAGAGAGUUUGCGGAAAGGCCAGUGACCUGCAUCUUUUGAGCAGAACAGCAAUCACAAUUUGCCAAAGGCACAAAAAAAAGCAAUUCUGGUGUACACCAUAGUUUGAAAACUACAGGUCAAUCCUAUUGACACUUCAAUCUAAACAGAAGAUGCUGCCAUACACAUACAUACACGUGUCUGUGUGUGUGUAUGUAUUUCAAAACCAAUACCAGCUUUGAGAAGCCCUGGUUCAGAUUCUCUGUGUUCCAGUACUUGGUGGUAAUGACUCCCAGAACCUCAGAAAGAUGCAUGGAUCCAUUGAUGGAAGGGCUUUGCGGCUGUUCUCACUAACUCAUGGAACUCAUUUUCCACCUCAAUCACCAG
This 488-nucleotide long non-coding RNA is filed under the name Capra hircus (goat). Its description in RNAcentral is "lncRNA (ENSCHIG00000000650.1)". The record is from RNAcentral. Lineage: Eukaryota; Metazoa; Chordata; Mammalia; Artiodactyla; Bovidae.